Molecule: unclassified non-coding RNA, 309 nt
Filed under: plant metagenome
Description: partial contains 5.8S ribosomal RNA, internal transcribed spacer 2, and large subunit ribosomal RNA
Rfam family: 5.8S ribosomal RNA (bases 1-104)
Source: RNAcentral
AAAUGCGAUAAGUAAUGUGAAUUGCAGAAUUCAGUGAAUCAUCGAAUCUUUGAACGCACAUUGCGCCCGGCAGUAUUCUGCCGGGCAUGCCUGUUCGAGCGUCAUUUGUACCCUCAAGCUCUGCUUGGUGUUGGGUGUUUGUCCCCGUCUCCGCGCGUGGACUCGCCCCAAAGUGAUUGGCAGCCGGCGUACUGGUCCCGGAGCGCAGCACAUGUCGCGCAAACGAGUGCCUUGGUACGGCGGCGUCCAUAAGCCCCUCUCUCACGCUCUUGACCUCGGAUCAGGUAGGGAUACCCGCUGAACUUAAGC